RNAcentral lists this ribosomal RNA (253 nucleotides) under uncultured bacterium. Its description in RNAcentral is "partial 16S ribosomal RNA". It matches the Rfam family "Bacterial small subunit ribosomal RNA", at positions 524 to 776 of the family's 1533-position model. The record is from RNAcentral.
UACGGGGGGGACAAGCGUUGUUCGGAAUUACUGGGCGUAAAGGGCUCGUAGGCGGCCAACUAAGUCCGACGUGAAAUCCCCAGGCUUAACCUGGGAACUGCGUCGGAUACUGGUUGGCUUGAAUCCGGGAGAGGGAUGCGGAAUUCCAGGUGUAGCGGUGAAAUGCGUAGAUAUCUGGAGGAAUACCGGUGGCGAAGGCGGCAUCCUGGACCGGCAUUGACGCUGAUGAGCGAAAGCUAGGGGAGCAAACGGG